RNAcentral lists this ribosomal RNA (117 nucleotides) under Clostridia bacterium. Lineage: Bacteria; Bacillati; Bacillota; Clostridia. The record is from RNAcentral.
UGCGGUGACGAUAGCGUUGAGGAUCCACCUGUUCCCAUUCCGAACACAGAAGUUAAGCUCGAUUGCGCUGAAAGUACUUGGUUGGACACGACCUGGGAGGAUAGGGAGUUGCCGCAU